UACGUAGGUGGCAAGCGUUGUCCGGAAUUACUGGGUGUAAAGCGCGCGUAGGCGGUAGGCCAAGUCGGUCGUGAAAUCCCUCGGCUCAACCGAGGAACGUCGAUCGAUACUGCUGUUCUUGAGGAUUGCAGAGGAGACUGGAAUUCCCGGUGUAGCGGUGAAAUGUGUAGAGAUCGGGAGGAACACCGGUGGCGAAGGCGGGUCUCUGGGCAAUUCCUGACGCUGAGGCGCGAAAGCGUGGGGAGCAAACGGG
This 253-nucleotide ribosomal RNA is filed under the name uncultured bacterium. RNAcentral's name for it is "partial 16S ribosomal RNA". It matches the Rfam family "Bacterial small subunit ribosomal RNA", at positions 524 to 776 of the family's 1533-position model. The record is from RNAcentral.